RNAcentral lists this ribosomal RNA (623 nucleotides) under Bacillus subtilis. RNAcentral's name for it is "bacterial SSU rRNA". It matches the Rfam family "Bacterial small subunit ribosomal RNA", at positions 52 to 658 of the family's 1533-position model. The record is from RNAcentral. Lineage: Bacteria; Bacillati; Bacillota; Bacilli; Caryophanales; Bacillaceae.
UACAUGCAGUCGAGCGGACAGAUGGGAGCUUGCUCCCUGAUGUUAGCGGCGGACGGGUGAGUAACACGUGGGUAACCUGCCUGUAAGACUGGGAUAACUCCGGGAAACCGGGGCUAAUACCGGAUGGUUGUUUGAACCGCAUGGUUCAAACAUAAAAGGUGGCUUCGGCUACCACUUACAGAUGGACCCGCGGCGCAUUAGCUAGUUGGUGAGGUAACGGCUCACCAAGGCAACGAUGCGUAGCCGACCUGAGAGGGUGAUCGGCCACACUGGGACUGAGACACGGCCCAGACUCCUACGGGAGGCAGCAGUAGGGAAUCUUCCGCAAUGGACGAAAGUCUGACGGAGCAACGCCGCGUGAGUGAUGAAGGUUUUCGGAUCGUAAAGCUCUGUUGUUAGGGAAGAACAAGUACCGUUCGAAUAGGGCGGUACCUUGACGGUACCUAACCAGAAAGCCACGGCUAACUACGUGCCAGCAGCCGCGGUAAUACGUAGGUGGCAAGCGUUGUCCGGAAUUAUUGGGCGUAAAGGGCUCGCAGGCGGUUUCUUAAGUCUGAUGUGAAAGCCCCCGGCUCAACCGGGGAGGGUCAUUGGAAACUGGGGAACUUGAGUGCAGAAGAGGA